AAAAAUGACAAAAAUAAUUCUCGUGUAAGGGCCGCUAUUCGCGACCUAGAAGGAACGGUGCUGCUAUCUAUGAAAGUUUAAUCUGUGUGUGAAGUGAAUGUAAACAAAGCAGGCGUUGAAGUACUAAAAAGAUUCUAUUUAGUUAUUAAAACUUAUUUUGCGGUACAUCAUUGCUGGUAUUUCGUGAGUAAAAAGCGGGAAAAAACUCCUCUUCCGGCACUAGUAAUCCGCAUAGGUCAUGGAUCUGAAAAUUUGCUCGAAUGGGCUUGCAAAAACAUUUCAUGACAGUGUUUGUAAUUCUGAUAAGAACAGUGUUAUGUUCCAGAAUUAGUAUAUCGAUUCAAUCCCUCCCAAACAAGUAAAAUAAACGAUACGUAAUAUGGAUUCAAUGAUUCAGAAUCGAGUCAACGAAAACUACUUGGGUGCAAUUUACAUUUCUCUGGCAAUAAAUUGUGUUCCCCCCAGUUUGAACCUCCUAACUAUGCGAGUAAUUCUGAGGACUUCUUCUGUACCCGCUGCUUCCUGUCCCUACUAAGGAGUUGAGCUGUAAUUUUAUCGAGUGUCGUCAAUUUAUAAACUUAUA
Long non-coding RNA from Malaya genurostris, 583 nucleotides. RefSeq lists it as uncharacterized. The transcript has 4 exons. The record is from RefSeq and is a predicted model, not a curated record. Lineage: Eukaryota; Metazoa; Arthropoda; Insecta; Diptera; Culicidae.